Molecule: ribosomal RNA, 402 nt
Filed under: uncultured prokaryote
Description: bacterial SSU rRNA
Rfam family: Bacterial small subunit ribosomal RNA
Source: RNAcentral
UGGGGAAUCUUGCACAAUGGGGGAAACCCUGAUGCAGCGACGCCGCGUGAGCGAUGAAGCCCUUCGGGGUGUAAAGCUCUUUCGGCAGGAACGAUAAUGACGGUACCUGCAGAAGAAGCUGCGGCUAACUACGUGCCAGCAGCCGCGGUAAUACGUAGGCAGCAAGCGUUGUUCGGAGUUACUGGGCGUAAAGAGUGUGUAGGCGGUUCGCCAAGUUCGGUGUGAAAUCUCCCGGCUUAACUGGGAGGGUGCGCCGAAUACUGGCGGGCUAGAGUGCGGGAGAGGAGAGCGGAAUUCCUGGUGUAGCGGUGAAAUGCGUAGAUAUCAGGAGGAACACCUGCGGUGUAGACGGCUCUCUGGACCGUUUCUGACGCUGAGACACGAAAGCGUGGGUAGCAAACA